RNAcentral lists this transfer-messenger RNA (366 nucleotides) under Verrucomicrobia bacterium GWC2_42_7. It matches the Rfam family "transfer-messenger RNA". Rfam says of the family: Bacterial tmRNA, also known as 10Sa RNA or SsrA, is named for its dual tRNA and mRNA-like properties. Its role is to liberate the mRNA from a stalled ribosome. Lineage: Bacteria; Pseudomonadati; Verrucomicrobiota. The record is from RNAcentral.
GGGGGUGUUCCGGAUUCGAUUCCAUGUGGGAGGAUGUGACAGCAUGCCGGAGAAGAAUGGUUGGCUCCGUUAAAAAUCCAUUCAAAACAUAAAUGAAAAUAAUGUAGUAAGCUUCCGUGAGGAACUCGCUAUGGCUGCUUAAUUAAUUAGCGGCUCGUUUUGCAAUCGAUACCUGCUAGAUUGUAAAGCGUUGAUAGCAGGGAUAGUAGAAUGUUUGCAUUUCGCAUGCUACUGUAAUCAAAGAAAUGCUAGCGAAGGUUAGUUCUGCUACCUGAAAUAGCCUAAGCGAAUUUAAAAAGUAGCUAAGCAUGUAGACGGCAUAUCCAAAAAUAUGGAAGACGCGGGUUCAACUCCCGCCACCUCCAG